Molecule: ribosomal RNA, 874 nt
Filed under: uncultured Actinomycetes bacterium
Lineage: Bacteria; Bacillati; Actinomycetota; Actinomycetes
Description: bacterial SSU rRNA
Rfam family: Bacterial small subunit ribosomal RNA
Source: RNAcentral
CAGCCGCGGUAAUACGUAGGGUCCGAGCGUUGUCCGGAAUUACUGGGCGUAAAGAGCUCGUAGGUGGUUUGUCGCGUUGUUCGUGAAAACUCACAGCUUAACUGUGGGCGUGCGGGCGAUACGGGCAGACUUGAGUACUGCAGGGGAGACUGGAAUUCCUGGUGUAGCGGUGGAAUGCGCAGAUAUCAGGAGGAACACCGGUGGCGAAGGCGGGUCUCUGGGCAGUAACUGACGCUGAGGAGCGAAAGCGUGGGGAGCGAACAGGAUUAGAUACCCUGGUAGUCCACGCCGUAAACGGUGGGUACUAGGUGUGGGUUUCCUUCCUUGGGAUCCGUGCCGUAGCUAACGCAUUAAGUACCCCGCCUGGGGAGUACGGCCGCAAGGCUAAAACUCAAAGAAAUUGACGGGGGCCCGCACAAGCGGCGGAGCAUGUGGAUUAAUUCGAUGCAACGCGAAGAACCUUACCUGGGUUUGACAUGCACAGGACGCUGGUAGAGAUAUCAGUUCCCUUGUGGCCUGUGUGCAGGUGGUGCAUGGCUGUCGUCAGCUCGUGUCGUGAGAUGUUGGGUUAAGUCCCGCAACGAGCGCAACCCUUGUCCUAUGUUGCCAGCGGGUUAUGCCGGGGACUCGUAGGAGACUGCCGGGGUCAACUCGGAGGAAGGUGGGGAUGACGUCAAGUCAUCAUGCCCCUUAUGUCCAGGGCUUCACACAUGCUACAAUGGCCGGUACAAAGGGCUGCGAUGCCGUGAGGUGGAGCGAAUCCUUGUAAAGCCGGUCUCAGUUCGGAUCGGGGUCUGCAACUCGACCCGUGAAGUCGGAGUCGCUAGUAAUCGUAGAUCAGCAACGCUACGGUGAAUACGUUCCCGGGGCUUGC